This 297-nucleotide ribosomal RNA is filed under the name uncultured bacterium. RNAcentral's name for it is "partial 16S ribosomal RNA". It matches the Rfam family "Bacterial small subunit ribosomal RNA", at positions 28 to 326 of the family's 1533-position model. The record is from RNAcentral.
GACGAACGCUGGCGGCGUGCUUAACACAUGCAAGUCGAGCGGUAAGGCCCUUUCGGGGGUACACGAGCGGCGAACGGGUGAGUAACACGUGGGUGACCUGCCCUCAGCUCUGGGAUAAGCCUGGGAAACCGGGUCUAAUACUGGAUAUGACUCCAUGACGCAUGUUGUGGGGUGGAAAGCCUUGUGCGGCUGAGGAUGGGCCCGCGGCCUAUCAGCUUGUUGGUGGGGUNANGGCCUACCAAGGCGACGACGGGUAGCCGGCCUGAGAGGGCGACCGGCCACACUGGGACUGAGACA